CCUCCGGAGCAACCCGGAGGAAGCGAAAGAGAACUGGACGACUUGAAGGGAGGCGGGGAAGGGGAGGCCGGGGUAGGAGUUGGUUUGCUCUUGUCGGGGCUGCCCCAGACCUCUGUGUUCCAGGAUUGCAGCAGAGUUAAGUACAUACUUCUUUGCCGGGUGCGCCCUCUCUUCUAGGGCAUUCCUUUCGCGCUCUAUUGGCUUUACAGGAAGUGGGAGCUGCGCCUCGGCUCAGUUCGCCGGGACACGCCUUCCCGUCCUCCCAGCCCCCAGCCGGCCCCAAACCAAACUCCAUUCCCAGGUUGGGGGGUUCCCGCUGUGUGAGGGCUGAGCCUCGGGGUUUGGACCGGCAGGGGUGACGUGCGUUCGGGAGUCGCAGCGGAAAGCGAGAAAGGCAGUGGGUGGAAAAGGGAAAGGAUGCAUUUGACAAAUCUGAUUCAUCUCUUCAGACCAAGUCCCCGCAACAGGAAAACAUAGUUCAUCAAGAAUUGGGAGACUUCAUUCAUUCCUCCUUAUUGCCAAGACUUUUCUGACUUACAACUUAAGGAGCUUAGGAAAAAACAAGCAAAUAAACAAAAAACUACCUCUUUACUUGGACUGAAGUUCCUGAAUGCCCAUUUGCCAGACAUUCUGGUUUACGUCUACGAACCUCUGCCUCAGGGCCAUGCCCUCACAGUUACAGUCAGGAGUGCGGUCUGCUGCCACAUCCCGGUUGAUCUCCUGGAACCAUCUCUGGUACCAACAAAGAAGUUCAGUGUUCUCCAUGUUUAGGCACCCUAUUCAGAGUGGAUUCUUUCAAAACAACAAAAAAAGAAAAACCUAAUGGUGCUAAUGUACAAGUAGUUUCUGAAGCUGAAAAUAUUGGUGUUUUUUUAAAUUACUAAAAAAAAUUUUUUUAGCAAGAGAGAGAGAGCAUGUGCAUGUGAGAAUGGGGGAGAGGGGCAGAAGGAGAGAGAAAGAAUCCCAAGCGGUUUCUGUGUUCAGCACAGAGUCCAAUGCGGGACUCAAUCCCAUGACCCUGGGAUCAUGACCUGAGCCGAAAUCAAGAGUCGGACACUAAACCAACUGAGUGACCAGGCGCCCCUGAAAAUAUUAAGUGUUUUUGAUAUUUUAUUCUUUUCUCCUGGGUUCCAUGUUCAAACAGUGGCAACUUGUAUUGAAUAAAUAUAAUAUCUUUAUGGUGUCUCUCUCA
Neofelis nebulosa (Clouded leopard) is the source of this 1192-nucleotide long non-coding RNA. RefSeq lists it as uncharacterized. The record is from RefSeq and is a predicted model, not a curated record. The transcript has 3 exons. NCBI's taxonomy places the organism in Eukaryota, Metazoa, Chordata, Mammalia, Carnivora, Felidae.